ACACGGAGGGCGCAAGCGUUGCUCGGAAUCACUGGGCGUAAAGCGGGUGUAGGCGGUCUAGCAAGUCAGAUGUGAAAGCCCACGGCUCAACCGUGGAAGUGCAUCUGAAACUGCUAGACUUGAGUGCCGGAGAGGGAAGUGGAAUUCCUGGUGUAGGGGUGAAAUCCGUAGAUAUCAGGAGGAACACCGGUGGCGAAGGCGACUUCCUGGACGGCCACUGACGCUGAGACCCGAAAGCGUGGGGAGCAAACCGGAUUAGAAACCCCAGUAGUCC
Molecule: ribosomal RNA, 274 nt
Filed under: uncultured bacterium
Lineage: Bacteria
Description: partial 16S ribosomal RNA
Rfam family: Bacterial small subunit ribosomal RNA
Source: RNAcentral